CAGAGGGUAGUUUAAAGUUAGAAUCCUAGCUUUGGGAGCUAGGGGCGGGGGUUAAAGUCCCCCCUCUCUGA
Molecule: transfer RNA, 71 nt
Filed under: Seriola quinqueradiata (Japanese amberjack)
Lineage: Eukaryota; Metazoa; Chordata; Actinopteri; Carangiformes; Carangidae
Description: tRNA-Pro
Rfam family: tRNA
About the family: Transfer RNA (tRNA) molecules are approximately 80 nucleotides in length. Their secondary structure includes four short double-helical elements and three loops (D, anti-codon, and T loops).
Source: RNAcentral